Molecule: ribosomal RNA, 465 nt
Filed under: uncultured Klebsiella sp.
Lineage: Bacteria; Pseudomonadati; Pseudomonadota; Gammaproteobacteria; Enterobacterales; Enterobacteriaceae
Description: bacterial SSU rRNA
Rfam family: Bacterial small subunit ribosomal RNA
Source: RNAcentral
CCUACGGGCGGCAGCAGUGGGGAAUAUUGCACAAUGGGCGCAAGCCUGAUGCAGCCAUGCCGCGUGUGUGAAGAAGGCCUUCGGGUUGUAAAGCACUUUCAGCGGGGAGGAAGGCGUUAAGGUUAAUAACCUUGGCGAUUGACGUUACCCGCAGAAGAAGCACCGGCUAACUCCGUGCCAGCAGCCGCGGUAAUACGGAGGGUGCAAGCGUUAAUCGGAAUUACUGGGCGUAAAGCGCACGCAGGCGGUCUGUCAAGUCGGAUGUGAAAUCCCCGGGCUCAACCUGGGAACUGCAUUCGAAACUGGCAGGCUAGAGUCUUGUAGGGGGGGGUAGAAUUCCAGGUGUAGCGGUGAAAUGCGUAGAGAUCUGGAGGAAUACCGGUGGCGAAGGCGACCCCCUGGACAAAGACUGACGCUCAGGUGCGAAAGCGUGGGGAGCAAACAGGAUUAGAUACCCCAGUAGUC